Molecule: ribosomal RNA, 537 nt
Filed under: Anopheles sawadwongporni
Lineage: Eukaryota; Metazoa; Arthropoda; Insecta; Diptera; Culicidae
Description: eukaryotic LSU rRNA
Rfam family: Eukaryotic large subunit ribosomal RNA
Source: RNAcentral
CUAGUGGAGUACUCCUUCUAAGCUAAAUACUGCCAUGAGACCGAUAGCGAACAAGUACCGUGAGGGAAAGUUGAAAAGCACUCUGAAUAGAGAGUCAAAUAGUACGUGAAACUGCCUAGGGGACGCAAACCCGUUGAACUCAAUGAUCCGGGCGGCGAUAUUCAGCGGUGGCCGGCUCGCUCGGCUGCCGUGCACUUAUCGAUCCGCAUCAAACGGACAUCGCGAUCCAUUGCGCAUCUGCGUGAGCAUAUCAUUCCGGCAACUGGCCCCUGGCUCGUGGUGGACGGCUCCCUAGUAGGGCGCGGCUUGGCGGCCGCCCCAAACGGGGGUCUCCGCGCCUUUCACACCCGAGAGGCGCUGGGUCCGACCGAGCUCCGGGUGUGCCGCUGGAAGCACGAUGGAACGUACGACCGGGGUCUAGGGAGCAGCCUUGUAGCCGAAGGCCUCGAAGCACUCGACCCCCCGAUCGGCGAUGACGCAUUACGCAUUGAGGUACCUCCGGGACCCGUCUUGAAACACGGACAAGAAAAUUCAACA